This 229-nucleotide unclassified non-coding RNA is filed under the name plant metagenome. RNAcentral describes it as "partial contains small subunit ribosomal RNA, internal transcribed spacer 1, and 5.8S ribosomal RNA". The record is from RNAcentral.
UUUCCGUAGGUGAACCUGCGGAAGGAUCAUUACAGAGUUCAUGCCCUACCGGGUAGAUCUCCCACCCUAUGUUAUUAUUACUUUGUUGCUUUGGCGGGCCGUUAGGCUCCGGCCCGACUACCGGCCCCGGCUGGUAAGCGCCCGCCAGAGGACCCAAAACCCUGAAUAUUAGUGUCGUCUGAGUACUAUAUAGUAGUUAAAACUUUCAACAACGGAUCUCUUGGUUCUG